This 1097-nucleotide long non-coding RNA is filed under the name Anser brachyrhynchus (Pink-footed goose). RNAcentral describes it as "lncRNA (ENSABRG00000016424.1)". Lineage: Eukaryota; Metazoa; Chordata; Aves; Anseriformes; Anatidae. The record is from RNAcentral.
GCAUAGAGAAAAAUGCUGGGAGUCAGGCAUGGGGAAUGAAAUGUGAUAUCUAUUACAGUUCUGUCCUCGUUACUGAUUGAAAUACUCCUUAAACCUAUCCAUUUACAAAAGCAUUCCUCUGUUUUGUUUAGGCAGGGGUGUCGUCCUGCCCUAGAAGGAAAUCCAAGGGCAACCUCGUGUGAGUCGGUGACUGGUAGAACAAUACCAUGGAGAAGAGUGUGUUGUGAUCCAUUUUGAACCUGCGUGACAGGAACAGGGAAUGCGGGAGAUAUGUCUAUGAAUAAUUGCUAAAGGUGUGUGAGCAACAAAUAUUUUACCUUUGAACUGGAGGUGAACAAAAAGGUCUAAUAUUUAUCUUUUUUUUUUUUCUGAUACUUAUAAUGCUUGCCAAUUGGAAAACUGAGAAAUCUCACAAUUUUUAAUUUACUUUUAUUUCUAUUUUAUUUUUCCCUCAAAGAAGUAUUGAGAUACCAUAUGAACUGAGGUGUUUGAAAAACCUCCUAGGAACUCAUUCCUUCAAUGUGCCAGUUCAGUUAUAAAUAUCUGUCGAUUCAAAAUGUUUUGUUUCGUUUUGUUCCCUUGAGUUGUCAAAAUCAGAGAGCUUAAUAAGACCCUGUUAUCAGAAGAUAAAUUUGGGAAAAGAAGCACAAGGAUUUAAACUCACUCCCAUCAUAAGAUAGUAGGGUAGGGUACGGUAGGGUACGGUAGGGUAGGGUAGGGUAGGGUAGGGAAGGGUAGGGAAGGGUAAAGGGAAGGGAAGGGAAGGGAAGGGAAGGGAAGGGAAGGGAAGGGAUUUCCUGUCAUUUUUGUUGUUGGUGGUUUUGUUGCUGUUGGCUGUCCUGAAAAAAAAAAAAAAUCAGUAUUUUAUUUAUUUAUUUAUGUAUUUAUUAGUUACUUAAUGUACACUUUCAGAGAAGGAAAACCAGGCAGAGAUCAUCUUGGUGAAGCAUAUCAGGGGCAGGUGUACAUAUAUUAAUUUUGAUAAUAAGUAGGCAGAAGUUCCAGCAAAUUGUGAUAAACACUGAGGAAUCAAACAACACUGCUUGAAAGGUAAUUAUUCAGAUAUAACCGCACUUUUGAUCAAACGGAAGGUUAAG